CGAAAAGCAGACAAUGGAUGCCUGGAGGAUGCUAAAGCCGAAGAAGGACGUACUAGGCCACGAUAGUCGUCGGGGAGCUGCCAAGAAGCGCUGAUCCGGCGGUGUCCGAAUGGGGAAACCCACCCCGCAGAAACUGCGGGGGGUCCCGCAUCUUGUCUAGCCCACUGACUUUGGAAUUAUUCUUGCCGACCGCUGGUAUUUUAGCGGUGACGGAUUGAGAGCUUUCCGAGGUCGGAGGUUAGAAAAGGUGCGGGAGGGGCACGCCCUGAACUGAAACAUCUAAGUAGGGGCAGGAAAAUAAAUCAACGAGAUUCCGUAAGUAAGCGGAGAGCGAAAGCGGAAAAGCCUAAACCAUGUACAGUUACAUGUACGUGGUGUUGCGGGGCAGACGAUAUGGGAUUGGAUGAGGAGUAGUUGAAUCCUGUGGAAACAGGAGCCAAAGAGCGUGACAGCCGCGUAAGCGAAACUUCCGUCCACCUUAGUUUGUACCCAAGUACCAUGAAGAACAUACUUUGUGGGAAUCCGGGGUAACCACACUCCAAGGCUAAAUACUUUAGCAUACCGAUAGUGAACCAGUACCGUGAGGGAAAGGUGAAAAGAAGGGUUAAAAACCUAGUGAAAUAGAACCUGAAAUUGUCUGCUAUCAAGCAGUGAGAGCCCCUCCGCAAGGUCGGGGUGAUCGCGUGCCUAUUGAAGAAUGAUCCGGCGAGUUUUCGAUUGCUGCAAGUUUAACCCCGCUAAGCGGGGGGAGGCGUAGGGAAACCGAGUCUUAACAGGGCGAAAUACCAGCAGCAGUUGGAAGACCCGAAACCUGGUGAGCUAACCAUGAGCAGGGUGAGUCCCGCCGAAAGGCGGGAGGAGGCCCGAACCCGUCAGAGUUACAAAUCUGUGGGAUGACUUGUGGUUAGGGGUAAUAUGCCAAUCGAACCAGGAGAUAGCUGGCUCUCCCCGAAAUAUAUAUAGGUAUAGCCUCAAAGCCAACUGACAUGAGGUAGAGCACUGGAUGGGCCGGGCGGCGCAAGCCGUCCUGUUCAAUCAAACUCCGAAUUCGUGUCAGAGUACUUUGGGAGUCAGAACGACCCGGCUAAGCGGGCCGCUCAAAAGGGAAACAACCCAGACUGUCGUCUAAGGCCUCUAAAUGGAUGCUUAGUGUUGAACGCAGUCGAAUUCCUCAGACAGCCAGGAGGUUGGCUCAGAAGCAGCCAUCCUUUAAAGAAAGCGUAACAGCUCACUGGUCGAUUUGGGAGUUCGGCGCGGAAAAUGAACCGAGGCUGAAGCAUCCUGCCGAAGAUACAGAUUUCCCCGCAUUUUGCGGGGGAGUGGUAGGGGAGCGUUGAGGGAGCGGUGAAGGCCAGCCGUAAGGCGAACUGGAGCGACCUCAAGUGAGAAUGCCGGAAUGAGUAGCGUAAUCCCAGUGAGAAUCUGGGACGCCGAAUACCCAAGGUUUCCUCCGCGACAUUGUUUGACGGAGGGUGAGUCGGCACCUAAGGCGAGGCCGCAGAGGGCGUAGCCGAUGGACGAGACGUAAAUAUUCGUCUACAUGGAAAAUGUCGUUAUCAGCUAGGGAUGGACAAAGUGAGAGCAGCCAAACGCGUGCAGUGAAUGCGGCGUCUAAGCAGUAAGACAGUCGGUCCUGUAAAACGCGGACCGGUGUUUAAUCGAACUGUGACGGGAAGUUUGAAGAGAAAUCAACGAACAACUUGGUGCGCUUUUGUUUUCAAGAAAAGAUUCGUAGUGAGACAUUUUUUAUGCCGUACCGCAAACCGACACUGGUGGGUGGGUCGAGUAGACCAAGGCGAUCGGGAGAAGGUAGUUCAAGGAACUCGGCAAAAAAGCUGGACGUAAGUUUGCAAGAUGUCCUGCCCGCCGCAAGGCGGGCCGCAGCUAAAGCUUAUUCCUCGACUGUUUAACUAAAACACAGGUCUGUGCGAACUCGAAAGAGGCGGUAUACAGGCUGAUACCUGCCCAGUGCUCGUAAGUUAAGUGGAUGGGUGAUCCCGCAAGGGUUAGCCUUGAAAUGAAGCUCGAGUGAACGGCAGCAGUAACUAUGAGCCGAAAGGCCGUUGUAGUUGUAAAAGUCGACUAUAUGCUGGAACGUCUGAGUAUCUCACACUAGUAUUGACUUCGGUUUUUAUUCGGGGUUAAACUAACAAUGUGUUGAGUGCAGAUAAUCAGCAGGAAAGGCUAGAGACAGGACAAUUCUUGGCAGGGUUUGCAGAAGGAGAAGGAAGUUUUAAUAUUUCCUUGCGCCGGAAAACAGAUUACAAGGUAAAUUGGCAGGUGGUGAUGAGUUUCAAUAUAUCUCAACGCGACCCCACUUUAUUGAAUUUGUUUCAGCAAAUUCUGAGAUGCGGGAUUAUAAAAAAAAGGUUUGAUGGGGUUUAUUCACUUGAUGUGACCACUCCUUUGGACAUUGUUAGUAAAGUAAUUCCGUUUUUCCAAGAGUUUCCUCUUCGUUCUGAAAGUAAGCAACGCAACUUUAAUUUAUUUGUUAAAGCGGCAAGCUUAAUGAAGAGCGGGGAGCAUAAAAACCCAGAAGGUUUGUUUAAAAUUUUAAAGAUUCGAGAGCAAAUAAACCUGGGUAAAGGGAGGACUAGAAAAUAUUCAAUUUUUGAUGUUUUUCCUAAGCAAUCUUUAGAAUCCUCAGAGACUAUACGUCGACCCCCGCCAAGGCGGGGAUGAUAUAGUCCGAUCUCAUAGGCGACUAUGAGACUCCGUAAUCAACCGGAGCAUUGUAACAACAUGAACUGUUCUAUGGUAGCGAAGUUCCUUGUCGGGUAAGUUCCGACCCGCACGAAAGGUUUAACGAGGGAAUAACUGUCUUGAACUAUCACCCGGCGAAAUUGAAAUGGCUGUGAAGAUGCGGCCUAACUCUACUAGGACAAAAAGACCCUAUGGAGCUUUACUGUAUCCAGGCCCUGUUUUGGGCUUUGGGAUUGUUUAGAGUAGGAGGGACCACGUUCAGUUAAAUGAACGUGGAAAAGUGAAACACCUCUCGUUUUGAAGUCACAAAACUAACCCACAUGUGCUGGAAUCGCACAUGGAGACAAGGUCUGGUUGGCAGUUUUACUGGGGAGGUAUCCUGCUAAAAGGUAACGCAGGAGUACAAAGGUGCACUAGGCUCGGAUGGAAAUCGAGCGAGUCGUGUAACGGCAUAAGUGCGCUUGACUGUGAGAGCGGCAGCUCGAGCAGGUGCGAAAGCAGGUCGUAGUGAUCCUCGGAUCCCUCGUGGGAGGGACCGGGCUUAACGGAUAAAAGCUACCCUAGGGAUAACAGGCUGAUCGCCGCCAAGAGUCCAUAUCGACGCGGCGGUUUGGCACCUCGAUGUCGGCUCAUCCUAUCCUGGAGGGGCAGUACCUUCCAAGGGUCCGGCUGUUCGCCGGUUAAAAGGGUACGCGAGCUGGGUUCAGAACGUCGUGAGACAGUUGACCUGCCAUAACAUUCGGCAGGUGACACUGAGCUGUCUGUCAUUCCACGAUAAUUAUCUUUUUGUCUAUGAUAUUAAGAAUGACUCCCGCAAAUGAGCGGGAAUAAACCUGACUAUAUGCUGGAAACUCUUGUCAAUGUGUUUCUACUAGUAUACGAUUUGUGUACUAGUAAAAAUGAAACACCAUCUGGUGGAUACAGAGCAAGACAAUCAGCAGGAAAGACUAGUGAGUGACGACUAUUUACUCGGAUUUGUUGAAGGUGAAGGUUGCUUCUAUAUCGGAGUAGUCCGGAGCCGGGAAAUAAUAUCCCAUUGGCAAGUGAUUUAUUUUUUUAAAGUUUCACAAAACCCAACCGGAAAGCUGGUAUUGGAACAACUUAAAAAUAGAUUGGCUUGCGGGUACAUCAAAGCUAAUUCUUUAUCUGAUAAAUCCGAUAAAAGUUUGGCAUUUGUCGUUCGCGAUCUACCAAGUUUAACUAAAAAAGUAAUUCCUUUUUUCAAAGGAAAACUGCUUACGAAGAAGGCGGAAGAUUUUGAAAAGUUUUGUAGAGUGAUUGAUCUGGUAAUUUCCAGUAAUCAUCUGACAAAAAAGGGAAUUACAAAAAUAUUAGACAUUGCUUAUUCCAUGAAUACUGCGAAACGCAGGUAUUCCAAGCAAGAAAUAUUGGCGGGUUACAACUAGAAUCCCCACAGGCCAUACGUCAGGAUCGGCUUCAGGCCGAACAAGAUAUGGUCGAAUCCUUAUAGUGAUAUAAGGUAGAGAAUGUCGGUCUCUAUCCAGUAGAGUCGUGGAGUUCUUGAGGGGGUCCGACCUCAGUACGAGAGGACCAGGUUAGAGGUACCGCUGGUGUGCCGGUUGUGUCGUCAGAUGCAGCGCCGGGUAGCUAAGUGCCUACGGGAUAACCGCUGAAAGCAUCUAAGUGGGAAGCCCUACCCAAGAUUAGGAACUCAUCCCCGCCGCAAGGCGUGGUGUCAACCCGGGGAAGACAACCCCGUAUAAGAGGCUGGCAGUGUAAGCGCGGUAACGCGUUUAGCUUACCAGUACUAAUCGGUUGAUUG
Molecule: ribosomal RNA, 4486 nt
Filed under: Candidatus Amesbacteria bacterium RIFCSPHIGHO2_01_FULL_47_34
Lineage: Bacteria; Candidatus Amesiibacteriota
Description: bacterial LSU rRNA
Rfam family: Bacterial large subunit ribosomal RNA (bases 1-3494)
Source: RNAcentral